CCGAGUACCGGGUCUCCGGACCCAUGCUCCCACCCUUUGUGUACCUACCGAUUGUUCGUUGCCUUGGCGGGGUCGAUCCCCGGGGUCCAUGCUGGCCCUGCGGGGGACCCGCCAGGGGGACACAUCCAAAAACUCCUGCUGAACAGUGACGUCUGAGAAAGCAAACAAAUGAAUUA
This 176-nucleotide unclassified non-coding RNA is filed under the name uncultured Ascomycota. RNAcentral describes it as "sequence contains ITS1". The record is from RNAcentral. Lineage: Eukaryota; Fungi; Ascomycota.